GAUGAACGCUGGCGGCGUGCCUAAUACAUGUAAGUCGAGCGAACAGAUGAGGAGCUUGCUCCUCUGACGUUAGCGGCGGACGGGUGAGUAACACGUGGAUAACCUACCUAUAAGACUGGGAUAACUUCGGGAAACCGGAGCUAAUACCGGAUAAUAUAUUGAACCGCAUGGUUCAAUAGUGAAAGACGGUUUUGCUGUCACUUAUAGAUGGAUCCGCGCCGCAUUAGCUAGUUGGUAAGGUAACGGCUUACCAAGGCAACGAUGCGUAGCCGACCUGAGAGGGUGAUCGGCCACACUGGAACUGAGGCACGGUCCAGACUCCUACGGGAGGCAGCAGUAGGGAAUCUUCCGCAAUGGGCGAAAGCCUGACGGAGCAACGCCGCGUGAGUGAUGAAGGUCUUCGGAUCGUAAAACUCUGUUAUUAGGGAAGAACAAAUGUGUAAGUAACUAUGCACGUCUUGACGGUACCUAAUCAGAAAGCCACGGCUAACUACGUG
RNAcentral lists this ribosomal RNA (497 nucleotides) under uncultured bacterium. RNAcentral describes it as "partial 16S ribosomal RNA". It matches the Rfam family "Bacterial small subunit ribosomal RNA", at positions 28 to 507 of the family's 1533-position model. The record is from RNAcentral.